GAAUUGCGGCGGCUACCAUGCAGUCGAGCGGUAGCACAGAGAGCUUGCUCUCGGGUGACGAGCGGCGGACGGGUGAGUAAUGUCUGGGAAACUGCCUGAUGGAGGGGGAUAACUACUGGAAACGGUAGCUAAUACCGCAUAACGUCGCAAGACCAAAGAGGGGGACCUUCGGGCCUCUUGCCAUCAGAUGUGCCCAGAUGGGAUUAGCUAGUAGGUGGGGUAACGGCUCACCUAGGCGACGAUCCCUAGCUGGUCUGAGAGGAUGACCAGCCACACUGGAACUGAGACACGGUCCAGACUCCUACGGGAGGCAGCAGUGGGGAAUAUUGCACAAUGGGCGCAAGCCUGAUGCAGCCAUGCCGCGUGUAUGAAGAAGGCCUUCGGGUUGUAAAGUACUUUCAGCGGGGAGGAAGGUGUUGAGGUUAAUAACCUCAGCAAUUGACGUUACCCGCAGAAGAAGCACCGGCUAACUCCGUGCCAGCAGCCGCGGUAAUACGGAGGGUGCAAGCGUUAAUCGGAAUUACUGGGCGUAAAGCGCACGCAGGCGGUCUGUCAAGUCGGAUGUGAAAUCCCCGGGCUCAACCUGGGAACUGCAUUCGAAACUGGCAGGCUAGAGUCUUGUAGAGGGGGGUAGAAUUCCAGGUGUAGCGGUGAAAUGCGUAGAGAUCUGGAGGAAUACCGGUGGCGAAGGCGGCCCCCUGGACAAAGACUGACGCUCAGGUGCGAAAGCGUGGGGAGCAAACAGGAUUAGAUACCCUGGUAGUCCACGCCGUAAACGAUGUCGACUUGGAGGUUGUGCCCUUGAGGCGUGGCUUCCGGAGCUAACGCGUUAAGUCGACCGCCUGGGGAGUACGGCCGCAAGGUUAAAACUCAAAUGAAUUGACGGGGGCCCGCACAAGCGGUGGAGCAUGUGGUUUAAUUCGAUGCAACGCGAAGAACCUUACCUACUCUUGACAUCCAGAGAACUUUCCAGAGAUGGAUUGGUGCCUUCGGGAACUCUGAGACAGGUGCUGCAUGGCUGUCGUCAGCUCGUGUUGUGAAAUGUUGGGUUAAGUCCCGCAACGAGCGCAACCCUUAUCCUUUGUUGCCAGCGGUCCGGCCGGGAACUCAAAGGAGACUGCCAGUGAUAAACUGGAGGAAGGUGGGGAUGACGUCAAGUCAUCAUGGCCCUUACGAGUAGGGCUACACACGUGCUACAAUGGCGCAUACAAAGAGAAGCGACCUCGCGAGAGCAAGCGGACCUCAUAAAGUGCGUCGUAGUCCGGAUUGGAGUCUGCAACUCGACUCCAUGAAGUCGGAAUCGCUAGUAAUCGUAGAUCAGAAUGCUACGGUGAAUACGUUCCCGGGCCUUGUACACACCGCCCGUCACACCAUGGGAGUGGGUUGCAAAAGAAGUAGGUAGCUUAACCUUCGGGAGGGCGCUACCACUUGGAUCCGGGGU
This 1441-nucleotide ribosomal RNA is filed under the name bacterium. RNAcentral describes it as "bacterial SSU rRNA". It matches the Rfam family "Bacterial small subunit ribosomal RNA". The record is from RNAcentral.